AUGGUUUUGGUCAUUCCUCGAUCCUCUCGUUUGAACGAGCUUCUGGGCCGGGUUGGGCUGACGUUAUGCGAAAAGGAGACGGGCCUGACUAGGACUGGGUAUGAGGCCCAGGACCUUAGCCAGGUGACCGAACGGCCUAUCGAGGAGGCUAGCGACGUGCAUGUGAUCGAGUCGAUGAGUUCGACUAGUCCUGCACUUCCUCGUCUGUUUCGUUCGUCCAGGGCGGCUAGGGUCCGCAAGGUUGCUGCGCCUGGCUUCCCUCGGAUUGGUUCUGGAAGGGCUGCACGUGUUCCGCCGGCUGCGGCUAUGGCCGGUCGGGGCGCUGGCCCCCCGCCGAAGCAUUUGAAUGGGACUCCGGCGAUCGGGAUCUCCCACAUGCAAUCGCAGCGUUUGAAUCACUUGUUGGGCUGUGAUGGGCCGGAUCGGAGGGAGCCAAGUUCGCGAGUGGAUGGGCCAGGGUCAGAUGGGUAUGUGGCCCAGUCUGUACCGGACCUGAAUCCUACUCCCCCUCGUAGCAGUCCCUCAUGCGCGAUCGCGAUCGAUCCUUCUCCCCCUCGUGCGUCGUACUCUGUUGGUGCUAGGGUUCCAAGGCGCGGGACUCGCGGCUUCCCGACGUGUGGCUCGGGUCGGGCUAGGAGGAUUCGACCCUUGCUGGCCAUGGCCGGCCGCGGGGCUGCGGCGCCGCCAGCCAAGACGCAAGCCGCCUCUGCUCCAGCAGGUCGGGGCGGGGCUACCCCGCCGCCGGUGGCGGGUGCUGGGCGCGGUGCCCUGGUGCCGCCCGGCCAGAGACCGCCGGCGGGCAGUGGUGCAACUCAGGCCACCCAGGGUCGUGGUAAUGGCCGCUUGGGCGUUCGGCCACCGGGGCAACCUUUGCAAGCUAUGGCCGGUAGGGGCGGGCUGAGGCCGCCGGCGCCAGGUCUGGCUUCCGUGGCGCAGCCGGCCGCGGGUCGGGAUGGCCCUCGCCCUCAGGCGCCGGGCGCGGCUGUUGUGGCUACUGCAGGCCGGGGUGGUGCGGCCCUUGGGGCUGUGCAAACGCCGACAGCCGGUCAGCCUCGUGGCGCGCCUCCGCCUCACUUCGUCGCGAGGCCUACUCACAAACGUUCGGGACAAUCGCAGACGACGCAGAAUUCGAACACUAGAGGCUCCUAUGAUCCGCCACGAGGCCAGUGGGGCGACGAUGGUUAUGAUGUGUAUGGAGAUGGACAACAUCGUGGUUCCUCAUCUACGGGUGGAGGACGUGGUUAUGCCUGGCAGAGUGACGGGUCUGCUGAGAGACCGUUUCUCGGGCCUCCAGGAGGUUUUGUUGAGGGUGCUUCUGGUCCGGAUCACUGCCAGAGAGGGGGUCACCGUGGACAUCGCGGUGGUCGGGGCGGUGGACGCGGGAGGUAUCAUCGCAGACCGCCGCCGCCUUCGACAGUUGUUGACCAAGCGGAGUCAGUACGGAAGACCGAUAACGCUACCGCGGAGCUCCCUCCCCAGGCAAUGGAGGUGGUAGCGGCUUUAGCCAAUGUUGAGGCUCCGGCGACUGGGAGUGUGACUGAGGCUACAGACAGGUCUGAGGCUGAAAGGGUGUCCAAGUGGGCGCGUAAGAAGGAAAGGAUGCUUUGCUACCGUUGUGGUGAGAAGGGCCACUUCAUUGCUGAUUGCGUGGCAGAGCUGUGUGAGUCCUGUGGUAAGCCGGCACAUGCCUCGGGGGACUGCCCAUUGUUGCGUGACCAGGCUCCAUCUUUGACUAUGUAUGGAGUUUAUUGUGCCGAACUUAUGUUCUUUGAGUCCCCGGCUGCGAGAGAGAUUCCGGAGGAGACUUUGAGCUUGACCACCGGGGUUGUCAAAGCUACUCAGGGUGAGGUUUCGGAGGCUCAGAUUGUGCAGAGGCUUCAGGAACUGGCACCGGGAGACUUCCAUUGGGAGCUCGUUCCUCUCGAGGCCAAGGUUUUUAAGGUGGAGUUUCCUUCAGUGGACGAUCUGCAGCGACUGUUGAGUUUUGGUUUAUGCAGAGUUCCUGGCACUAGGUGCAUUCUGGAGUUCCAUGAGUGGCAGCAGGUGGAACCUAAAGGAAAGCCGCUUACGCAGGUCUGGUUGAGGUUUUCGGGGGCUCCAUCUAAGCCUUUGCAGGAUGUUCGAGUCGUGGCCAGUAUGGGCAUUAUGGUUGGCAAGACGGAGAAAGUGGAUAUGGCCUUUACUCGUGCACAUGGAGUGGCACGCAUUUUAGUGAGCAUUUUGGAUAUUGAGUUCGUGCCUGACGUGGUUAACUGGACCUAUAGAGGAGAGGUGUUUCCUCUUGAGAUCGAGUUUGAGGACGCUGCCCUGUUUGCUGACGCAAUGAUUGGGAAUGAUGUUGACAUGCACAGGGGGACAACAUUGCGGGAGCGGAAGGGGCACCGACUGAUGAGUCGACCUGUGAGGGGACUAACGGUUCCCGUCCUGUGGCUCAGUCCGGGGAUGGGACCGGGGUUGAGCCGGCACCUACACCAUCGGUGCCUAUGA
RNAcentral lists this ribosomal RNA (2487 nucleotides) under Triticum aestivum (bread wheat). Its description in RNAcentral is "partial small subunit ribosomal RNA". Lineage: Eukaryota; Viridiplantae; Streptophyta; Magnoliopsida; Poales; Poaceae. The record is from RNAcentral.